RNAcentral lists this ribosomal RNA (253 nucleotides) under uncultured bacterium. RNAcentral describes it as "partial 16S ribosomal RNA". It matches the Rfam family "Bacterial small subunit ribosomal RNA", at positions 524 to 776 of the family's 1533-position model. The record is from RNAcentral.
UACGUAGGGUGCAAGCGUUAAUCGGAAUUACUGGGCGUAAAGCGUGCGCAGGCGGUUUUGUAAGUCUGUCGUGAAAGCCCCGGGCUCAACCUGGGAAUUGCGAUGGAGACUGCAAGGCUUGAAUCUGGCAGAGGGGGGUAGAAUUCCACGUGUAGCAGUGAAAUGCGUAGAGAUGAGGAGGAACACCGAUGGCGAAGGCAGCCCCCUGGGUCAAGAUUGACGCUCAUGCACGAAAGCGUGGGGAGCAAACAGG